GGGUGUCCCACGAAGUUCUGACAAAUGAAAUAACUUGUAUUCUAAUCAAUAUUUUUUCAUUUUUUUUUUUUUAUACAAUUAAUAGACGUUUGUACUACACGUAUAAUAUAAACUUUUUUAUUUUCAUUUUUUUGUGCAUAAAAUAAGAAAUUUUAAAUUUGAUUUUCAUUUUUUUCAAAAAAUUCAAAAUAGCCAAUUUAUAAACAUAUUGAAAAAAAUAGAUUUAACGUUUACGGUAUUUAAUUUGAGUAAUCCAUUUGCGACUUAUUAACAUUUAAAUAUUCGUUCAAUUUACUGCUACUGGGAAAUUUAUCAAACCCAAUAGUAAAAACCAGAAGCCAAAAUGAAAUUAUAUCUCAAUUUAAAGAUACCCAUUACGGUCAAAAUCGAUAAUAACUAAUAAGUAAUGAGUUUAGUAUGUACUAUGUACAAUGGUCAUACGAAUUGGACAUUUGGACCUUCCUUUCCAAUCCCCACUCCUACCAGAACACUGAUUGUUGAGUGAACAACGUCAAGCCUGUAGUUGUAGUCUGCCGCAGCUGUAUCAGCCUGCAGAAUAUCAGCUAUAAAGUAUAAAAAUAACAUUUUACAAUUUACCUUCAUGGUUACAUAAUGUAGCACUGGUUAUUGAUUCUUGGUAUACGGUUUUAUCACUUAUCACGUUUGUAGAUAAACGAGAAUUAACAUUAAGAUUUUUAACCUUAAACGGUUAAUUUACAGCACGAUUUAUGAUAAUUUUAUUAUGUUAGAUCGUGAUCAACAAUUAACGAAUGUAAAUUAUUGAUAGUAGUAAAUAAUAAUAAAUAUUUUUAUUCAAUGAUUUCAACUUAUUACUUAAUGAAGUGAUCAGUAUUAUAGAAUAAGUAAUACAUUUUAAUGAUAUGUCGACGAAAUGUUGACAAAGAAGAAUUUGGCGUAUCCGUCUUCUGUAUCACAAAAAAAAAUAAUAAAAACAAAGUACCUACUAGGUAUACCAAUUACAAUUAUUUCAAAUUUAUCAAUUAAAAAAUUGUAUGAAGAGCCUUUAUCAUUCAAUUUGAGGGAAUGUCAAGUCCAAUUAAGUAUAUCUUAAACCAAGUAAUUGAUAAGUCAUCCUUAUUACUUUUUACAUAUUUGCAAUAUAAUGCACCAAAAUCUUCAAAAACUUCGAUUGUUAAGAAAGUAUUUACUUUAAACGUUAAAUAAUCAACAAAGAAAGUGUACCUAAUGUGUACUUACCUUUCAAUGCAAGAAUCAAAGAAGAUAUGAAAUAAGAAAAAAAUUAUUACUUAAUAAUUUUUAAUGGUGACAUUAAUAUACAUUUUAUUGCUCGAACAACAACUGGCCUAAACUAGAAGAAAUAUUUUUCAACAAUAUGUAUGCAAAUUGAAAACUAUGUAGUAUUUUGAUUUAUUUAUAAAUAAAGUACUAUAAUAAAACUAAGAAGUUUAAUUUGUUGGUUACCGCGGGUCAUUACAAGCAUUGUGGACUAGGUACUGACCAUUAAAAAAAAAAAGGCUCGUCAUAAAAUUUCCAUAAAUAUGAUCCAAUUACUACAAUUAGUUUACUGUUUGAUGUGUCAGAACAAACAUAGAACAUUAACUGGUGAUAAACUUUAUUUGGAUUCAUCUAAAUUCUCAUUAUUGUCAAAACAAAAUCAAAUAGAAAGUCUUAUCACAAAAUGUAAAAGUGACUUUCCACAUGGAUUUCAUAAUUCAACAAUGUAUACCUACUCACAACAUUGAAUAUCACAUAAUAUCUUGACUGUUUGAAUAUUAACAUACAUGCACUACACCAGCUAUGCAAUCUAACUGUACCAAUAGAUAAAUUAAGUAUGAUUAAAUUAGUUAAAUUAUAAAAAACAUAUGUUAUAGGUGUUAUAAUUUUAAUAAUAAUACUAUACUGAGAAAAAUCUAAAAUUCUACAAAAUACUUAGCAAAGACAACUUUUUCUAAAUUUAACAAAAUGUGAGACUAAGGUCGUAGACUUCUAGCGUAUAAAGAUCUUUAUUUAGUUCUAUUUUUUUCAAAUUUAUCUAUAUCUUUGUCACAGAUGAGGUGGAUUAUAAGCAGGAAACUUUUUCAUUUUUUUUCUUAGAAGUAACGAUUAGAUUUGUUGAAUUACUAAAAGAUUUUAGAUUUUACACAAAUACUCUGCUUAUGC
Molecule: long non-coding RNA, 2142 nt
Organism: Metopolophium dirhodum (rose-grain aphid)
Lineage: Eukaryota; Metazoa; Arthropoda; Insecta; Hemiptera; Aphididae
Exons: 3
Source: RefSeq, a predicted model, not a curated record